This 170-nucleotide ribosomal RNA is filed under the name uncultured bacterium. Its description in RNAcentral is "partial 16S ribosomal RNA". It matches the Rfam family "Bacterial small subunit ribosomal RNA", at positions 332 to 500 of the family's 1533-position model. The record is from RNAcentral.
UCCUUUCGUAGGUGAGGCAGCAGUAAGGAAUAUUGGUCAAUGGACGAAAGUCAACCCAGCCAUGCCGCGUGAAGGAUGAAGGUCCUGUGGAUUGUAAACUUCUUUUAUAUGGGACGAAAAAAGGGAAUCUUUCUCACAUGACUGUACCCAUAUGAAUUAGCCCCCUUUUG